Molecule: transfer RNA, 84 nt
Filed under: Cordylochernes scorpioides
Lineage: Eukaryota; Metazoa; Arthropoda; Arachnida; Pseudoscorpiones; Chernetidae
Description: tRNA-Glu
Source: RNAcentral
UGUCCAAUACGGGAAUCGAACCCGGGUCGUUUUGGUCGAAAACCAAACGGUUUAACCAGCCUUCCACCGACCACCUGAAUGAAC